This 469-nucleotide ribosomal RNA is filed under the name uncultured bacterium. RNAcentral's name for it is "partial 16S ribosomal RNA". It matches the Rfam family "Bacterial small subunit ribosomal RNA", at positions 27 to 507 of the family's 1533-position model. The record is from RNAcentral.
GGACGAACGCUGGCGGCGUGCUUAACCCAUGCAAGUCGAACGGAAAGGCCCUGCUUUUGUGGGGUGCUCGAGUGGCGAACGGGUGAGUAACACGUGAGUAACCUGCCCUUGACUUUGGGAUAACUUCCGGAAACUGGGGCUAAUACCGGAUAGGAGCUCCUGCUGCCUGGUGGGGGUUGUAAAGUUUCGGCGGUUGGGGAUGGACUCGCGGCUUAUCAGCUUGUUGGUGGGGUAGUGGCUUACCAAGGCUUUGACGGGUAGCCGGCCUGAGAGGGUGACCGGCCACAUUGGGACUGAGAUACGGCCCAGACUCCUACGGGAGGCAGCAGUGGGGAAUAUUGCACAAUGGGCGGAAGCCUGAUGCAGCAACGCCGCGUGCGGGAUGACGGCCUUCGGGUUGUAAACCGCUUUCGCCUGUGACGAAGCGUGAGUGACGGUAAUGGGUAAAGAAGCACCGGCUAACUACGUG